This is a long non-coding RNA of Ictalurus punctatus (channel catfish), 1095 nucleotides long. NCBI's taxonomy places the organism in Eukaryota, Metazoa, Chordata, Actinopteri, Siluriformes, Ictaluridae. The record is from Ensembl.
GCACCAACAAAUAUACAUCUUUCAUCUGGAUUAAAUCAAAGGUUGUAUAUUAACACCCUUUAAAACCUCUUAUAAAGAAUAAAACGCUCAGGCUUACAUUUAACCCUUCAUUUAAUCCUAAUACGAGCUUUACAGUAAUGUAUAUGUAUUAGACGGAUGACUGUGUAAUGACCGUGUGUGUGUGUUUUGUUUUUGUUUUUAUUUAUGGAGUGAAGAAAUAAAAGUAUAAAAUCCCUGACGUGCGAGUCCAUCACGACAGACGAUCAGAAUCACUCACAGGUAAUUAAGGCUUUAAUUACAGAUUAAGAUAGCAAGAGCAGGUUUAAAACGAAGCGGUGCAACACAGAUCCUCGAUCUGUCGUUGCGUGCGUUUAUUGUAUUUCCUGCUCGAACGCACCAGUGUUGACUCGAGGCGUCCGGUUAAUUAGUUUAGCUUAAUUAGACGAGUUGUGUUUAAGAAGAAAGUUAAAGGACAAAUAAAUAAAUAAAUAAAUAAAGCUGUACUGUAAUCUAACGCAGUUUCUUCCUCGAUGGAUUUCUAAAUGUUAGCCUUAUUAGGCGUUUGUCAGACUUCCAAACGAUCACGGAUACAACAGCUAAACUUGACAUUGGAGGUAAUCUCCAGAGAGAAAAAUUGGCCUCAUUUCAGAAAUUGGCCUCAUUACACCAGACCAAGCUGAUUACACACAACACACACACACACACACAUAUAUAUCUCAACACAAAAACGAACACACUCAUGGCUCUCUCUCUCUCUCUCUCCACCGCCACUCACUGUUGUUGCAGGAGGUCUUAUCGGGUAGUGAGUAGCCCAGGUUGGUCAUUUCCUGUUUGGCCUGCAGCGAGCUCUUCCACUGGGCCUCGGGCAGAUCCACCGCCAGCUCGUGGAUGCUGUUGGAGUGGAGGAUCUGCGUGGUGGCGUACGGAGUGGCCUGCGACGCCGGGCUCGCGCUGCCAAAUCCUGCCUUAGUCGUGAAGUCGAUGCUGCUGUAGAUGGCGCCGUCAGACAUCAUGGUACCCGUUUUAUCCGUCUGACCGGCAGGCAUGACGUCUGGAAAACAGAGAGAGAAAGAGAGAGAGACAGAGAGAUGAAAU